CUCGACCCUGAAACUUGGAGCAGGGUGGGGGUUCAGUAUGAAGCCCCCGGACCGCCCCGCCCCUGGCCGCACUGACCGGAUACUGGGGGUCAUGGGGGGCAUGCUGCGCGCAUGCGCCCUCCCUGGGCAGGAGGGGCCCCCAAGGAGAAGCCCUCUAGGGUUGGUGGGUACCGAGCCAGAGUCUGAACGUACGGAGGGAGAUCACAGAAGGGAUCGCGAACAUGAGGUCCUCGCCGGGGCUCUGCAGCCCGGCCAAGGCCCCAUCCACUGAGUCCUCCUUCAUCGCAGAGGCCAAGGGGAGACCUGGGCAGACCCUGCAGACAGGCUGAACCCCGACCCCAGCGCUCCGCAGAGCCCGGGAUGCGAGAGGGAGGGGGACCCCGGGGCAGGGGAGCACGGGCUGGGGAGGGGAAAAAGCGCUGGGGACGUGGAGUGGGAACGUGGUGGUG
Molecule: long non-coding RNA, 449 nt
Filed under: Homo sapiens (human)
Lineage: Eukaryota; Metazoa; Chordata; Mammalia; Primates; Hominidae
Description: HSALNT0190014
Source: RNAcentral